RNAcentral lists this ribosomal RNA (443 nucleotides) under uncultured bacterium. RNAcentral describes it as "partial 16S ribosomal RNA". It matches the Rfam family "Bacterial small subunit ribosomal RNA", at positions 338 to 795 of the family's 1533-position model. The record is from RNAcentral.
CCUACGGGUGACAGCAGUGGGGAAUAUUGGACAAUGGGGGGAACCCUGAUCCAGCGACGCCGCGUGAGUGAAGAAGUAUUUCGGUAUGUAAAGCUCUAUCAGCAGGGAAGAAAGAAAUGACGGUACCUGACUAAGAAGCCCCGGCUAACUACGUGCCAGCAGCCGCGGUAAUACGUAGGGGGCAAGCGUUAUCCGGAUUUACUGGGUGUAAAGGGAGCGUAGACGGCGAUGCAAGUCUGAAGUGAAAGGCGGGGGCCCAACCCCCGGACUGCUUUGGAAACUGUAUGGCUGGAGUGCGGGAGAGGUAAGUGGAAUUCCUAGUGUAGCGGUGAAAUGCGUAGAUAUUAGGAGGAACACCAGUGGCGAAGGCGGCUUACUGGACUGUAACUGACGUUGAGGCUCGAAAGCGUGGGGAGCAAACAGGAUUAGAUACCCCUGUAGUC